Molecule: ribosomal RNA, 439 nt
Filed under: uncultured bacterium
Lineage: Bacteria
Description: bacterial SSU rRNA
Rfam family: Bacterial small subunit ribosomal RNA
Source: RNAcentral
AACGCGAAGAACCUUACCAAGGUUUGACAUCGCCGGAAAACUCGCAGAGAUGUGGGGUCCUUUUGGGCCGGUGACAGGUGGUGCAUGGCUGUCGUCAGCUCGUGUCGUGAGAUGUUGGGUUAAGUCCCGCAACGAGCGCAACCCUCGUUCCAUGUUGCCAGCACGUAGUGGUGGGGACUCAUGGGAGACUGCCGGGGUCAACUCGGAGGAAGGUGGGGAUGACGUCAAGUCAUCAUGCCCCUUAUGUCUUGGGCUGCAAACAUGCUACAAUGGCCGGUACAGAGGGUUGCGAGACCGUGAGGUUGAGCGAAUCCCUAAAAGCCGGUCUCAGUUCGGAUUGGGGUCUGCAACUCGACCCCAUGAAGUCGGAGUCGCUAGUAAUCGCAGAUCAGCAUUGCUGCGGUGAAUACGUUCCCGGGCCUUGUACACACCGUACGUC